CCUACGGGAGGCUGCAGUAGGGAAUUUUCGGCAAUGGGGGGAACCCUGACCGAGCAACGCCGCGUGAACGAAGAAGUUAUUCGUAAUGUAAAGUUCUUUUAACAGGGAAGAAAGAGAAAUUUGACGGUACCUGAAGAAUAAGCUCCGGCUAACUACUGGCCGGCAGCCGCGUAAAUACGUAGGGAGCGAGCGUUAUCGGGAAUUAUUGGGCGUAAGGGGUGCGUAGAUGGCAUAGAAAGUCUUUUGUAAAAAUGCUGGGCCAAACCCAGUAGGGCAAAAGAUACUGCAAAGCUAGAGUAUGACAGAGGCAAGUGGAACUACAUGUGUAGCGGUAAAAUGCGUAAAUAUAUGUAAGAACACCAGUGGCGAAGGCGGCUUGCUGGGUCGAUACUGACAUUGAGGCACGAAAGCGUGGGGAGCAAACAGGAUUAGAUACCCGAGUAGUC
RNAcentral lists this ribosomal RNA (446 nucleotides) under uncultured bacterium. RNAcentral describes it as "partial 16S ribosomal RNA". It matches the Rfam family "Bacterial small subunit ribosomal RNA", at positions 338 to 795 of the family's 1533-position model. The record is from RNAcentral.